This 458-nucleotide ribosomal RNA is filed under the name uncultured bacterium. RNAcentral describes it as "partial 16S ribosomal RNA". It matches the Rfam family "Bacterial small subunit ribosomal RNA", at positions 338 to 795 of the family's 1533-position model. The record is from RNAcentral.
CCUACGGGUGGCAGCAGUGAGGAAUAUUGGUCAAUGGCCGGAAGGCUGAACCAGCCAUGCCGCGUGAAGGUCAGUGCCCUAUGGGUUGUAAACCUCUUUUGUCGGAGAACAAAACCCGGGACGUGUCCCGGACUGCGUGUAUCCGAAGAAAAAGCAUCGGCUAACUCCGUGCCAGCAGCCGCGGUAAUACGGAGGAUGCGAGCGUUAUCCGGAUUUAUUGGGUUUAAAGGGUGCGUAGGCGGUCCGUUAAGGCAGCGGUAAAAUUGCGGGGCUCAACCCCGUCGAGCCGUUGAAACUGGCAGACUUGAGUUGGCGAGAAGUACGCGGAAUGCGCGGUGUAGCGGUGAAAUGCAUAGAUAUCGCGCAGAACUCCGAUUGCGAAGGCAGCGUACCGGCGCCAGACUGACGCUGAGGCACGAAAGCGUGGGGAUCGAACAGGAUUAGAUACCCCUGUAGUC